Carica papaya (papaya) is the source of this 266-nucleotide non-coding RNA. Lineage: Eukaryota; Viridiplantae; Streptophyta; Magnoliopsida; Brassicales; Caricaceae. The record is from RefSeq and is a predicted model, not a curated record.
AGGAUAAAGAUGAGGCAACAGUUGGUCAUGAUAUAGAGAGCUUAAGAGGCAAAUCCCAUUCAGCUGUUUCUGCUAGUAAUGUGACACUGGUGGGGGGUACAAGUGAACGGUCCAAGUGGAAACGGAAGACAAUUGUGACACUUGCAUUGACUGUUCUUACAAGUUCACAAGCUAUUCUCAUUGUCUGGUCAAAGAGAGCUGGGAAGUAUGAGUAUAGUGUUACCACUGCAAAUUUUUUGGUGAGUGAAGAAUACUUCUUGAUUUAA